UAAGGAAUAUUGGUCAAUGGACGCAAGUCUGAACCAGCCAUGCCGCGUGAAGGAUGAAGGUCCUCUGGAUUGUAAACUUCUUUUAUCUGGGACGAAAACGGGAUUUUUAUCUCAAUUGACGGUACCAGAGGAAUAAGCACCGGCUAACUCCGUGCCAGCAGCCGCGGUAAUACGGAGGGUGCGAGCGUUAUCCGGAUUUACUGGGUUUAAAGGGUGCGUAGGUGGGCUUAUAAGUCAGUGGUGAAAUCUCCGAGCUUAACUUGGAAACUGCCGUUGAUACUAUAGGUCUUGAAUUAUCUGGAGGUAAGCGGAAUAUGUCAUGUAGCGGUGAAAUGCUUAGAUAUGACAUAGAACACCAAUUGCGAAGGCAGCUUACUACAUAUAAAUUGAUGCUGAGGCACGAAAGCGUGGGGAUCAAACA
RNAcentral lists this ribosomal RNA (421 nucleotides) under uncultured bacterium. RNAcentral describes it as "bacterial SSU rRNA". It matches the Rfam family "Bacterial small subunit ribosomal RNA", at positions 355 to 774 of the family's 1533-position model. The record is from RNAcentral.